Molecule: long non-coding RNA, 1290 nt
Organism: Schistocerca gregaria
Lineage: Eukaryota; Metazoa; Arthropoda; Insecta; Orthoptera; Acrididae
Exons: 5
Source: RefSeq, a predicted model, not a curated record
CUCACUACACGUAAAAAUAUCUUUGUGACUGUUUGUUUUUGUAUGUUUCCUUUUUUGAACGUGUACUGUGCUGUUUAAAUUGUGUGACUGAUGUUUAAUAUGUGUGAGCUUCAGCCUAAAUUAACCAGAAGAAAGCAGUGAGAAAAAGCUUCUUCCAAAUUCACCAUAACCUAUACGCAAAGAUCCAGCAUUAAUUAGAAAACUUCGCUUGUCUGUAUAUUAGACUGCUCUGGAGCACACUCCGACAACAGAGGAAUCAGAUGUGUGUGACAGAGCGCAGUGCUGGAAGAGGGAGACAACUCCAACAAUAUUUCGUCAAUACUUCGAAGAUCGUUUCGUCUCCCUCUUGAGUAUAUUGUCAGCAGAAGAGUCAAUUAAGUCUAGAAUUUUAGCACGCACGCUGCUGUGUAAGUGCUAUGCAGGACUUUCACAGGCUGGAAAAGCCUUCGUGCGCCAAAUAUAUCAUCGUCUGUGUAUCGAUGAAAGUGUUGCCGUGAGAGAAAAUGCAGCCAGAAAACUGGACGAGUUUGCGAAAGUGGUGGAGUUAAGCCACUUUGGAGUCGAUAUUAUUCCCAUAUUUCAUAUGCUGCAGAAGGACGAAGAGGAAAUAAUACGUUUGGCAGCUGCUGAAUCGUUAGGGAACAUUUUGGUGCACCAGCGCCUUUCUGACGAAGUCUGCAAGGAGCUCCUUUCAGAGUUGGAAAAGUAUAUUGACGAUCCAUCUCCGAAUGUUCGUUACCUGGUAGUCAGCAAAAUUAUCGAGGUUCUGAGAGGUCCACAGAAAGGCUCGUUUAAGUGAGAUCUCCUCCAAAUACGUGAUGAUUUAGUGAAGACUCUGACAUAGAUAGAUGAACAGCAGCAACACAUCAAUAUCAAGCUUUUCAGUGUGAUCAUCUCAAAAUUUCUGAAGAUAUGUUGAAGGACUCUGGGAAUUAUGUACGGGUAGCCGCAGUUAAUCAGUUGCAAGCCUUUUAGGUGCGUUUUUUUCUCAAAAUUGUUCAAGAUUUGUUUUUGGACUCUUUAAGUGUAAAGAGGGGAGCCGAAGCACAUCAUCUUCAAGUCUUUUAAGUGUGUUAUUCCGAAAUACUAGUUGAAGGACUGUGAAAAUAAGAGACGGGCAGCUGCAGCAUUUCAAUUGCCCGGUUUCUGCAGUGAUCUUGGCAUGGAAGACGCACUCAAGUUAUAUAGAAUGGUACUUUGAUUGACCAAAAUUAUAUUAGUAUUAUGAAGAAUGUGCCUGGUCUUCUAAAUCUGAAGCAAUAAAGCACAGUGUUGCUGUUUCAUUCUGUA